Molecule: small nucleolar RNA, 104 nt
Filed under: Neurospora crassa
Lineage: Eukaryota; Fungi; Ascomycota; Sordariomycetes; Sordariales; Sordariaceae
Description: box C/D snoRNA CD37
Source: RNAcentral
CCUUAUGAUGAAGUUUUCCUACAUUCGCAGUUUCCACUCGAGACCCCACCUACGAGCCUUUCUCGGGGUCAGAUGAGGGCGAAGUCUUCCUUGGAUGUCUGAUU